Molecule: ribosomal RNA, 2907 nt
Filed under: Bacillus anthracis str. A0442
Lineage: Bacteria; Bacillati; Bacillota; Bacilli; Caryophanales; Bacillaceae
Description: bacterial LSU rRNA
Rfam family: Bacterial large subunit ribosomal RNA
Source: RNAcentral
GGGCGCACGGUGGAUGCCUUGACACUAGGAGUCGAUGAAGGACGGGACUAACGCCGAUAUGCUUCGGGGAGCUGUAAGUAAGCUUUGAUCCGAAGAUUUCCGAAUGGGGAAACCCACCAUACGUAAUGGUAUGGUAUCCUUAUCUGAAUACAUAGGGUAAGGAAGACAGACCCAGGGAACUGAAACAUCUAAGUACCUGGAGGAAGAGAAAGCAAAUGCGAUUUCCUGAGUAGCGGCGAGCGAAACGGAACAUAGCCCAAACCAAGAGGCUUGCCUCUUGGGGUUGUAGGACAUUCUAUACGGAGUUACAAAGGAACGAGGUAGACGAAGCGACCUGGAAAGGUCCGUCGUAGAGGGUAACAACCCCGUAGUCGAAACUUCGUUCUCUCUUGAAUGUAUCCUGAGUACGGCGGAACACGUGAAAUUCCGUCGGAAUCUGGGAGGACCAUCUCCCAAGGCUAAAUACUCCCUAGUGAUCGAUAGUGAACCAGUACCGUGAGGGAAAGGUGAAAAGCACCCCGGAAGGGGAGUGAAAGAGAUCCUGAAACCGUGUGCCUACAAAUAGUCAGAGCCCGUUAAUGGGUGAUGGCGUGCCUUUUGUAGAAUGAACCGGCGAGUUACGAUCCCGUGCGAGGUUAAGCUGAAGAGGCGGAGCCGCAGCGAAAGCGAGUCUGAAUAGGGCGUUUAGUACGUGGUCGUAGACCCGAAACCAGGUGAUCUACCCAUGUCCAGGGUGAAGUUCAGGUAACACUGAAUGGAGGCCCGAACCCACGCACGUUGAAAAGUGCGGGGAUGAGGUGUGGGUAGCGGAGAAAUUCCAAUCGAACCUGGAGAUAGCUGGUUCUCCCCGAAAUAGCUUUAGGGCUAGCCUUAAGUGUAAGAGUCUUGGAGGUAGAGCACUGAUUGGACUAGGGGUCCUCAUCGGAUUACCGAAUUCAGUCAAACUCCGAAUGCCAAUGACUUAUCCUUAGGAGUCAGACUGCGAGUGAUAAGAUCCGUAGUCAAAAGGGAAACAGCCCAGACCGCCAGCUAAGGUCCCAAAGUGUGUAUUAAGUGGAAAAGGAUGUGGAGUUGCUUAGACAACUAGGAUGUUGGCUUAGAAGCAGCCACCAUUUAAAGAGUGCGUAAUAGCUCACUAGUCGAGUGACUCUGCGCCGAAAAUGUACCGGGGCUAAAUACACCACCGAAGCUGCGGAUUGAUACCAAUGGUAUCAGUGGUAGGGGAGCGUUCUAAGGACAGUGAAGUCAGACCGGAAGGACUGGUGGAGUGCUUAGAAGUGAGAAUGCCGGUAUGAGUAGCGAAAGACGGGUGAGAAUCCCGUCCACCGAAUGCCUAAGGUUUCCUGAGGAAGGCUCGUCCGCUCAGGGUUAGUCAGGACCUAAGCCGAGGCCGACAGGCGUAGGCGAUGGACAACAGGUUGAUAUUCCUGUACCACCUCUUUAUCGUUUGAGCAAUGGAGGGACGCAGAAGGAUAGAAGAAGCGUGCGAUUGGUUGUGCACGUCCAAGCAGUUAGGCUGAUAAGUAGGCAAAUCCGCUUAUCGUGAAGGCUGAGCUGUGAUGGGGAAGCUCCUUAUGGAGCGAAGUCUUUGAUUCCCCGCUGCCAAGAAAAGCUUCUAGCGAGAUAAAAGGUGCCUGUACCGCAAACCGACACAGGUAGGCGAGGAGAGAAUCCUAAGGUGUGCGAGAGAACUCUGGUUAAGGAACUCGGCAAAAUGACCCCGUAACUUCGGGAGAAGGGGUGCUUUCUUAACGGAAAGCCGCAGUGAAUAGGCCCAAGCGACUGUUUAGCAAAAACACAGCUCUCUGCGAAGCCGUAAGGCGAAGUAUAGGGGGUGACACCUGCCCGGUGCUGGAAGGUUAAGGAGAGGGGUUAGCGUAAGCGAAGCUCUGAACUGAAGCCCCAGUAAACGGCGGCCGUAACUAUAACGGUCCUAAGGUAGCGAAAUUCCUUGUCGGGUAAGUUCCGACCCGCACGAAAGGUGUAACGAUUUGGGCACUGUCUCAACCAGAGACUCGGUGAAAUUAUAGUACCUGUGAAGAUGCAGGUUACCCGCGACAGGACGGAAAGACCCCGUGGAGCUUUACUGUAGCCUGAUAUUGAAUUUUGGUACAGUUUGUACAGGAUAGGCGGGAGCCUUUGAAACCGGAGCGCUAGCUUCGGUGGAGGCGCUGGUGGGAUACCGCCCUGACUGUAUUGAAAUUCUAACCUACGGGUCUUAUCGACCCGGGAGACAGUGUCAGGUGGGCAGUUUGACUGGGGCGGUCGCCUCCUAAAGUGUAACGGAGGCGCCCAAAGGUUCCCUCAGAAUGGUUGGAAAUCAUUCGUAGAGUGCAAAGGCAUAAGGGAGCUUGACUGCGAGACCUACAAGUCGAGCAGGGACGAAAGUCGGGCUUAGUGAUCCGGUGGUUCCGCAUGGAAGGGCCAUCGCUCAACGGAUAAAAGCUACCCCGGGGAUAACAGGCUUAUCUCCCCCAAGAGUCCACAUCGACGGGGAGGUUUGGCACCUCGAUGUCGGCUCAUCGCAUCCUGGGGCUGUAGUCGGUCCCAAGGGUUGGGCUGUUCGCCCAUUAAAGCGGUACGCGAGCUGGGUUCAGAACGUCGUGAGACAGUUCGGUCCCUAUCCGUCGUGGGCGUAGGAAAUUUGAGAGGAGCUGUCCUUAGUACGAGAGGACCGGGAUGGACGCACCGCUGGUGUACCAGUUGUUCUGCCAAGGGCAUAGCUGGGUAGCUAUGUGCGGAAGGGAUAAGUGCUGAAAGCAUCUAAGCAUGAAGCCCCCUCAAGAUGAGAUUUCCCAUAGCGUAAGCUAGUAAGAUCCCUGAAAGAUGAUCAGGUUGAUAGGUUCGAGGUGGAAGCAUGGUGACAUGUGGAGCUGACGAAUACUAAUAGAUCGAGGACUUAACCAU